RNAcentral lists this ribosomal RNA (464 nucleotides) under uncultured Weissella sp. Its description in RNAcentral is "bacterial SSU rRNA". It matches the Rfam family "Bacterial small subunit ribosomal RNA", at positions 338 to 795 of the family's 1533-position model. Lineage: Bacteria; Bacillati; Bacillota; Bacilli; Lactobacillales; Lactobacillaceae. The record is from RNAcentral.
CCUACGGGCGGCUGCAGUAGGGAAUCUUCCACAAUGGACGAAAGUCUGAUGGAGCAACGCCGCGUGGGUGAUGAAGGGUUUCGGCUCGUAAAACACUGUUGUAAGAGAAGAAUGACAUUGAGAGUAACUGGUCAGUGUGUGACGGUAUCUUACCAGAAAGGAACGGCUAAAUACGUGCCAGCAGCUGCGGCAAUACGUAUGUGCCAAGCGUUGUCCGGAUUUAUUGGGCGUAAAGCGAGCGCAGACGGUUGUUUAGGUCGGAAGUGAAGGCCCACGGUUAAACUGUGGAAGUGCUUUGGAAACUGGAUAACUGGAGUGCAGUAGAGGAGGGUGGAACUCCAUGUGUAGCGGUGAAAUGCGUAGAUAUAUGGAAGAACACCAGUGGCGAAGGCGGCUCUCGGGACUGUAACUGACGUGGGGGCUCGAAAGUGUGGGUAGCAAACAGGAUGAGUACCCCGGUAGUC